Molecule: ribosomal RNA, 740 nt
Filed under: uncultured bacterium
Lineage: Bacteria
Description: bacterial SSU rRNA
Rfam family: Bacterial small subunit ribosomal RNA
Source: RNAcentral
GAGUUUGAUCAUGGCUCAGAUUGAACGCUGGCGGCAGGCUUAACACAUGCAAGUCGAACGAACUAUUGGGGCUUGCUCUAAUAGUUAGUGGCGAACGGGUGAGUAAUGCCUAGGAAUCUGCCUUAUAGUGGGGGAUAACGUUUCGAAAGGAACGCUAAUACCGCAUACGUCCUACGGGAGAAAGGGGGCAUUUAUGCUCUCGCUAUUAGAUGAGCCUAGGUCAGAUUAGCUAGUUGGUAGGGUAAAGGCCUACCAAGGCUACGAUCUGUAGCGGGUCUGAGAGGAUGAUCCGCCACACUGGAACUGAGACACGGUCCAGACUCCUACGGGAGGCAGCAGUGGGGAAUAUUGGACAAUGGGGGAAACCCUGAUCCAGCCAUGCCGCGUGUGUGAAGAAGGCCUUUUGGUUGUAAAGCACUUUAAGCGGGGAAGAGGGCACCACGGUUAAUACCCGUGAAUGUCGGACAUUACCCGCAGAAUAAGCACCGGCUAACUCUGUGCCAGCAGCCGCGGUAAUACAGAGGGUGCGAGCGUUAAUCGGAAUUACUGGGCGUAAAGCGCGUGUAGGCGGUUAUAUAAGUUGGAUGUGAAAUCCCCGAGCUUAACUUGGGCACUGCAUUCAAAACUGUAUAGCUAGAGUAUGGGAGAGGAAGGUAGAAUUCCAGGUGUAGCGGUGAAAUGCGUAGAGAUCUGGAGGAAUACCGAUGGCGAAGGCAGCCUUCUGGGCUAUACUGACGCUG